CUUGAGCACGUAGGUGGGUUUGUAAGUCAGGUGUGAAAGCCUUCUGUUCAACGGGAGAAUUGCAUCUGAAACUACAAGUCUUGAGUGUAGGAGGGGAGAAUGGAACGUCUGGUGGAGCGGUGAAAUCCGUAGAUAUCAGAAGGAACGCCGGCGGCGAAAGCGAUUCUCUGGCCUAUUACUGACACUCAGUGUGCGAAAGCUAGGGGAGCAAACGGGAUUAGAUACCCCGGUAGUCCUAGCCGUAAACGAUGGGCACUAAGUAGAGGGGAUUACCGACGUUCUCUCUGCCGUAGCUAACGCAUUAAGUGCCCCGCCUGGGGAGUACGGCCGCAAGGCUAAAACUCAAAAGAAUUGACGGGGGCUCGCACAAGCGGUGGAGCAUGUGGCUUAAUUCGAUGCAACGCGAAGAACCUUACCGGGGCUUGACAUGGUAGAAGUAGGAACCCGAAAGGGUAACGAACGGUAUCCAGUCCGUGACUAUCACAGGUGUUGCAUGGCUGUCGUCAGCUCGUGUCGUGAGACGUUGGGUUAAGUCCCCUAACGAGCGAAACCCUUGUUUUUAGUUACCAGCGGGUUAUGCCGGGUACUCUAGAAAGACUGCCGUCGUCAAGACGGAGGAAGGUGGGGAUGACGUCAAGUCAUCAUGGCCCUUAUGCCUCGGGCUGCACACGCGCUACAAUGGUCGGUACAAACGGAAGCGAAGCCGAGAGGUGAAGCGAAUCCAAGC
RNAcentral lists this ribosomal RNA (727 nucleotides) under uncultured Planctomycetota bacterium. RNAcentral's name for it is "bacterial SSU rRNA". It matches the Rfam family "Bacterial small subunit ribosomal RNA", at positions 562 to 1278 of the family's 1533-position model. Lineage: Bacteria; Pseudomonadati; Planctomycetota. The record is from RNAcentral.